This 21-nucleotide microRNA is filed under the name Salmo salar (Atlantic salmon). RNAcentral's name for it is "ssa-miR-33a-3p". Its record names the gene ssa-miR-33a-3p. Lineage: Eukaryota; Metazoa; Chordata; Actinopteri; Salmoniformes; Salmonidae. The record is from miRBase by way of RNAcentral. RNAcentral also lists the same sequence under 7 other names.
CAAUGUGUCUGCAGUGCAGUA